RNAcentral lists this ribosomal RNA (253 nucleotides) under uncultured bacterium. RNAcentral describes it as "partial 16S ribosomal RNA". It matches the Rfam family "Bacterial small subunit ribosomal RNA", at positions 524 to 776 of the family's 1533-position model. The record is from RNAcentral.
UACGUAGGGGGCAAGCGUUGUCCGGAUUUAUUGGGCGUAAAGAGCGUGUAGGCGGCCAUGCAGGUCCGUUGUGAAAACUCGAGGCUCAACCUCGAGACGUCGAUGGAAACCGCAUGGCUAGAGUCCGGAAGAGGAGAGUGGAAUUCCUGGUGUAGCGGUGAAAUGCGCAGAUAUCAGGAAGAACACCCGUGGCGAAGGCGGCUCUCUGGGACGGUACUGACGCUGAGACGCGAAAGCGUGGGGAGCAAACAGG